Magallana angulata is the source of this 464-nucleotide long non-coding RNA. RefSeq lists it as uncharacterized. The record is from RefSeq and is a predicted model, not a curated record. NCBI's taxonomy places the organism in Eukaryota, Metazoa, Mollusca, Bivalvia, Ostreida, Ostreidae. The transcript has 3 exons.
GUUUAAUACAGAUGUAUAUAAAAGGAGCCACGGACAGAUGCCAGACAAGAGCUCUCUUGAGCUUCCAGCCCAUUACGUACCAGUGCAUCGAUAUCACUGCUGUCAGAAUCUGAUGGCAUUGGUACUCUUCCAAUUUGAACCACAUUCCUGGCUUGUGGGGUUUUCUCUUUUAACUGUUGGAUUUAAAAAAUGUCCUCUUUCUUGGGGAUUUUCUAAGGGGAGGUAAAGGACCAGGAGAGCUCUGUUGAGACAAAAUCAAAAUAUUGAUACAAAGUACUGAAAGUCAGACUUUUGUUGAUGUUUCAUUAUACCGGUACAUCAAGAUCAACUCCCCAUUUCUUCAUCACAACUGUUUAAAAACUGAUAUCAAAAACAAAGUCUAUGUCUAUAUUUUUGGAUUUUCCAACAUGCAACCAGAUGCAUGGUAAUUAGAUAAAGAGAUGGUUUGUGCAUAAUAAAGAUAA